RNAcentral lists this ribosomal RNA (296 nucleotides) under Yersinia enterocolitica. Its description in RNAcentral is "partial 23S ribosomal RNA". It matches the Rfam family "Bacterial large subunit ribosomal RNA", at positions 1255 to 1554 of the family's 2925-position model. The record is from RNAcentral. Lineage: Bacteria; Pseudomonadati; Pseudomonadota; Gammaproteobacteria; Enterobacterales; Yersiniaceae.
GGUGGUCUGUGAGGGCUGCUGGAGGUAUCAGAAGUGCGAAUGCUGACAUAAGUAACGAUAAUGCGGGUGAAAAACCCGCACGCCGGAAGACCAAGGGUUCCUGUCCAACGUUAAUCGGGGCAGGGUGAGUCGACCCCUAAGGCGAGGCUGAAAAGCGUAGUCGAUGGGAAACAGGUUAAUAUUCCUGUACUUGGUGUUACUGCGAAGGGGGGACGGAGAAGGCUAGGCUAGCCGGGCGACGGUUGUCCCGGUUUAAGCAUGUAGGCGGAGUGACCAGGUAAAUCCGGUUGCUUAUC